This 240-nucleotide ribosomal RNA is filed under the name uncultured bacterium. RNAcentral's name for it is "partial 16S ribosomal RNA". It matches the Rfam family "Bacterial small subunit ribosomal RNA", at positions 334 to 591 of the family's 1533-position model. The record is from RNAcentral.
CUUGCCUACGGGGCGCAGCAGUGGGGGAUAUUGCACAAUGGGGGGAACCCUGAUGCAGCGACGCCGCGUGGGUGAAGGAGCGUUUCGGCGCGUAAAGCCCUAUCGGCAGGGAAGAAGAUGACGGUACCUGACCAAGAAGCCCCGGCUAACUACGUGCCAGCAGCCGCGGUAAUACGUAGGGGGCAAGCGUUAUCCGGAAUUACUGGGUGUAAAGGGAGCGCAGGCGGGACUGCAAGUUGG